This 729-nucleotide ribosomal RNA is filed under the name Streptomyces sp. Sp080513KE-10. RNAcentral's name for it is "bacterial SSU rRNA". It matches the Rfam family "Bacterial small subunit ribosomal RNA", at positions 41 to 787 of the family's 1533-position model. Lineage: Bacteria; Bacillati; Actinomycetota; Actinomycetes; Kitasatosporales; Streptomycetaceae. The record is from RNAcentral.
GGCGUGCUUAACACAUGCAAGUCGAACGAUGAAGCCUUUCGGGGUGGAUUAGUGGCGAACGGGUGAGUAACACGUGGGCAAUCUGCCCUUCACUCUGGGACAAGCCCUGGAAACGGGGUCUAAUACCGGAUAAUACUUUUCCCUGCAUGGGGGAGGGUUGAAAGCUCCGGCGGUGAAGGAUGAGCCCGCGGCCUAUCAGCUUGUUGGUGGGGUGAUGGCCUACCAAGGCGACGACGGGUAGCCGGCCUGAGAGGGCGACCGGCCACACUGGGACUGAGACACGGCCCAGACUCCUACGGGAGGCAGCAGUGGGGAAUAUUGCACAAUGGGCGGAAGCCUGAUGCAGCGACGCCGCGUGAGGGAUGACGGCCUUCGGGUUGUAAACCUCUUUCAGCAGGGAAGAAGCGUGAGUGACGGUACCUGCAGAAGAAGCGCCGGCUAACUACGUGCCAGCAGCCGCGGUAAUACGUAGGGCGCAAGCGUUGUCCGGAAUUAUUGGGCGUAAAGAGCUCGUAGGCGGCUUGUCGCGUCGGAUGUGAAAGCCCGGGGCUCAACCCCGGGUCUGCAUUCGAUACGGGCAGGCUGGAGUGUGGUAGGGGAGAUCGGAAUUCCUGGUGUAGCGGUGAAAUGCGCAGAUAUCAGGAGGAACACCGGUGGCGAAGGCGGAUCUCUGGGCCAUUACUGACGCUGAGGAGCGAAAGCGUGGGGAGCGAACAGGAUUAGAUACCC